AGGUGAUAGAAUCCAUUUACCCGUAUAAUCCCGCGAAUCGGCGCGGGAGUUUCUACAGAAGGCCAUAACCUUCUUUCUACGGCGUGCAUUAAUACUACC
RNAcentral lists this non-coding RNA (99 nucleotides) under Mesotoga prima. Its description in RNAcentral is "Guanine sequence". It matches the Rfam family "Purine riboswitch aptamer". Rfam says of the family: Riboswitches are metabolite binding domains within certain messenger RNAs that serve as precision sensors for their corresponding targets. Allosteric rearrangement of mRNA structure is mediated by ligand binding, and this results in modulation of gene expression. Lineage: Bacteria; Thermotogati; Thermotogota; Thermotogae; Kosmotogales; Kosmotogaceae. The record is from RNAcentral. RNAcentral also lists the same sequence under 1 other name.